Molecule: non-coding RNA, 106 nt
Organism: Acanthosepion pharaonis
Lineage: Eukaryota; Metazoa; Mollusca; Cephalopoda; Sepiida; Sepiidae
Source: the annotation of a GenBank genome assembly
AUAUCAUAUUGAAACACCAGUUCCUGUACGAUCAACAAUGUUAAGCAAAGUCGAGCCUUGUCAGUACCUUGAUGGGUGACCGCUUGGGAAUACCAGGUGCUGUAAG